UACAGAGGGGGCAAGCGUUGUUCGGAAUUACUGGGCGUAAAGGGCGCGUAGGCGGCCCGCUAAGUCGAACGUGAAAUCCCCGAGCUCAACUCGGGAACUGCGUCCGAUACUGGCGGGCUUGAAUCCGGGAGAGGGAUGCGGAAUUCCAGGUGUAGCGGUGAAAUGCGUAGAUAUCUGGAGGAACACCGGUGGCGAAGGCGGCAUCCUGGACCGGCAUUGACGCUGAGGCGCAAAAGCUAGGGGAGCAAACGGG
Molecule: ribosomal RNA, 253 nt
Filed under: uncultured bacterium
Lineage: Bacteria
Description: partial 16S ribosomal RNA
Rfam family: Bacterial small subunit ribosomal RNA
Source: RNAcentral